Molecule: unclassified non-coding RNA, 251 nt
Filed under: Hevea brasiliensis (rubber tree)
Lineage: Eukaryota; Viridiplantae; Streptophyta; Magnoliopsida; Malpighiales; Euphorbiaceae
Source: RNAcentral
GGAUCAUUGUCUUGGGAUAAAUAUUAUAACGACUGAUUUUACAGUGAGACAUUGUUUCUCUUGGAAUUAGUAGUGGGGCGGCAGGAUGCAGUCUGAAAGUUUCUUUUAUUACCAUCUUGAGGUAUUCAAGCUUAUCAAUAUCACCUUCAGUUACUCUUCCCUUUUUUCCAACACGAUUUCUAAUUUCAUCUUGCACUUGCUUCAUCACUCUAGGAUUCCUUACAAGCUCUGCCAUUGCCCAAUUCACAGUA